CUUUGUUGUUGUAAGGUUACAAUCUAACAGAAUAGAAUCAAAGCUAACCUUCACCUUCGUCAUCGCAGUGCAGACCUCUCUGCUGAUCGUUGCCCUCCUAUACAUCCUGAACCACGAAUUAAAGCACAGGCAGGAGGAAGCUCACGAGACUUUGACGGUCAACAAUACCGGAAUGUACAACAGUUAUCUUCUUACGGGAUCAACCUUGUAGACAAAUGGAGAUUCUGCCCAGAGGAGCGGUGAUACGAUCCGACAGAAGACGAUCAAAAAUAAAUUAACUGCUAAUGUGUUUGUGAACAGUGGACGCGACAUCUUCGUAUAAAUAACCCGUGCUGAGUGGACAUCUGCAGUUGUUCAACUGAAAACCAGGACGAAAUGAUCGCAAAGGUUGUCGUAUUACUCGCUGUCCUCGCAGUGGCGGCGGCGACUGUCUCACUUAGGGUUGGACUGCCUUUCGCGAGCGUCCAUGUCGGCGCGGGUUUGACUCGCUUUGGGGGCUACCCGGUAGUAUACCCCCCAACUGUCUAUCCUGGCUAUGGAGUUUACCAUAACGGAUACUAUCAUUACUAGAGAUGAAUAGAAAAAUGAAUCUUCCAAAUAAAGAAUUUUUUUAAUUUAAUUGUAA
RNAcentral lists this long non-coding RNA (625 nucleotides) under Cimex lectularius (bed bug). RNAcentral describes it as "uncharacterized LOC106668967, transcript variant X1". The record is from RNAcentral. Lineage: Eukaryota; Metazoa; Arthropoda; Insecta; Hemiptera; Cimicidae.